UCGAACGAAAUUCACGAGCAAGAUAGCUCAUAGCAAAUAAGUGAUUAAGAAGUAAUUUUGGAAAAUGCUUGCUCAACGACAGUCGGGAAAAUAAUAAUUGAUCAUGUCCGAAUGAAAUCCUAAUACAAAAUAAAGAGUGAAAGGUAUUGUGGAUAACUCCAGAGUAGCAAUAAAAAUUGAAAAAAAUUAGAAAAUUUCUAAUAUAGCAUGAAGGAAAAUAACGCAACAAAUCAAUUCUGAAAACAGAUUUAAUCAAUGCAUAAAAUUACUGAUUAUAGAUACAGGAUGUGGUCAAAGUCCGGCAACGGCUAAUUAUUUCCAAAUUUAAUUGACCUUGAAAAUCGACCUCAAGGUCGACUUCUAAGUCGCCAUCAAAAAUAAUUAACCAUAACUGUCUCCACCUCCAGAGGUUGAGGGGUGCUUUUUACUCCUAGAAAGCGUAUUUAGCCGAAACAAAAAAACACGUAUUUAAUAUUUUUCGGUAUUUAAUAAGUAUGUUAAGUUUCAUUCAAAUCGGUGAGUAUCAGUUGGGUAGUGUUACUUGUAAGUGCAACUCUAGUAAAUUAAACUUUACGUUUUUAUUUUAAAUCUUUAAAAAAACAGUAUAUCUCUAUAUGCUCCUAUUUACAAAUAUCAUACUUACAAAAUAAUUCUGAAUGAUUUUGGUUGAAAAACAGGAAAUGCCUACUUAUUUCACAGGUCUCCAUGAGAGGUCUCUGUGCAGAUCAGAGAGUCUAGAGUACCUCUAAUAAGAAUACAGACACCGUCCCUAUAGCAGCUAUGUUUGAGACCAGAAAACCGGAAAUUCAUCUGUAUGCGCGGAAUGUUUAAAUUCUGCUAAAAGAGAUAUCAAGCAAGAUAUUUAAAUUUAAUUUUGAUGACUUAUGAAAUUACAUUUAUGUUACUAUAAUUGUAAGAUAGG
Molecule: long non-coding RNA, 922 nt
Organism: Harpegnathos saltator (Jerdon's jumping ant)
Lineage: Eukaryota; Metazoa; Arthropoda; Insecta; Hymenoptera; Formicidae
Exons: 3
Source: RefSeq, a predicted model, not a curated record